Poecilia reticulata (guppy) is the source of this 637-nucleotide non-coding RNA. The record is from RefSeq and is a predicted model, not a curated record. Lineage: Eukaryota; Metazoa; Chordata; Actinopteri; Cyprinodontiformes; Poeciliidae.
UUUUGUAGCGAUGAGGUUUUAUUUUUGAUUGAUUUAUGUCCGUGAGCAGUGAGACCAGGCCGUUGCAACCUUUGAGGGAGAUUACAUGGCUCUGUGGCGGCGUGUGUGUUUAAUAUAAAAAUAUAAACCGAUUUCUGAGGUUGUGGCUUCAUUAUUAUUAUUAUUAUUAUUUACCUGUUUUGUGUAUUUGUUUUGUUCAGAGGGGAGAUAAAUUGUCCUGCGUUCAGGGUGAAAAUCUGCUUCACUCUGAACAGGCUGUUGGCUUUUUGGAAGUGAGUUUGAAUUUGUUGAUUUUUUUGAGCGUGUGGAUUAAAAUGUUACACAUGCGUCGGUGCUGAAAAGGAAUCCUGUACUUCCAUUGAGUCUUGCACUGAUGGGAUAAACGGUUGCUUCUCUACAAAAGUACCAAAUUURAACACAGUCACCAAGGGUUGCAAACUUCCCUUUAUGCCAUGUGGUGGUCUGUCUUCUUGCUGUGCAAUGGAGCCGUACCGACAGGUCCUGGCGUCUUCCUGCUGCUGAUGUCUUCAGCUCUCUUUAUGCUCUUCAUUUGAGGCCCUAAGUCAGUUCUGUUCUGCUUUAUUGUUUAGACUCAGUUUGUAUGACUGAAGAAUAAAUAAAAAAAAUGUUAACCUUU